Molecule: ribosomal RNA, 412 nt
Filed under: uncultured Thiobacillus sp.
Lineage: Bacteria; Pseudomonadati; Pseudomonadota; Betaproteobacteria; Nitrosomonadales; Thiobacillaceae
Description: bacterial SSU rRNA
Rfam family: Bacterial small subunit ribosomal RNA
Source: RNAcentral
UGCCAGCCGCCGCGGUAAUACGUAGGGUGCGAGCGUUAAUCGGAAUUACUGGGCGUAAAGCGUGCGCAGGCGGAUUGUUAAGCAAGAUGUGAAAUCCCCGGGCUUAACCUGGGAAUGGCAUUUUGAACUGGCAGUCUAGAGUGUGUCAGAGGGGGGUGGAAUUCCACGUGUAGCAGUGAAAUGCGUAGAGAUGUGGAGGAACACCGAUGGCGAAGGCAGCCCCCUGGGAUAACACUGACGCUCAUGUACGAAAGCGUGGGUAGCAAACAGGAUUAGAUACCCUGGUAGUCCACGCCCUAAACGAUGUCAACUGGUUGUUGGGGGAGUGAAAUCCCUUAGUAACGAAGCUAACGCGUGAAGUUGACCGCCUGGGGAGUACGGUCGCAAGAUUAAAACUCAAAGGAAUUGACGG